CCAAUAGCGUAUAUUAAAGUUGUUGCAGUUAAAAUGCUCGUAGUUGAAUUUCGGGGUUAGUAGGUUGGUCAUGCCUCUGGUAUGUACUGGUCUCACUGAUUCCUCCUUCCUGAUGAGCCGUAAUGCCAUUAAUUUGGUGUUGCGGGGAAUUUGGACUGUUACUUUGAAAAAAUUAGAGUGUUUAAAGCAAGCUAACGCUUGAAUACAUUAGCAUGGAAUAAUGAAAUAGGACGUUCGAACCUAUUUUGUUGGUUUCUAGGAUUGACGUAAUGAUUAAUAGGGAUAGUUGGGGGCAUUAGUAUUCAAUUGUCAGAGGUGAAAUUCUUGGAUUUAUUGAAGACUAACUACUGCGAAAGCAUUUGCCAAGGAUGUUUUCAUUAAUCAAGAACGAAAGUUAGGGGAUCAAAGACGAUCAGAUACCGUCGUAGUCUUAACCAUAAACUAUGCCGACUAGGGAUCGGAUGAUGUUAAUUUUUUAAUGACUCAUUCGGCGCCUUAC
This 499-nucleotide ribosomal RNA is filed under the name uncultured Glomeromycotina. RNAcentral's name for it is "partial small subunit ribosomal RNA". It matches the Rfam family "Eukaryotic small subunit ribosomal RNA", at positions 591 to 1091 of the family's 1831-position model. Lineage: Eukaryota; Fungi; Glomeromycota. The record is from RNAcentral.